UGCGUAGGCGGAGGAUUAAGUCAGUGGUGAAAUCUCACAGCUCAACUGUGAAACUGCCAUUGAAACUGAUUUUCUUGAAUACGGUUGAGGUAGGCGGAAUACGUUAUGUAGCGGUGAAAUGCUUAGAUAUAACGUAGAACACCAAUUGCGAAGGCAGCUUACUAAGCCGUUAUUGACGCUGAGGCACGAAAGCGUGGGGAGCGAACAGGAUUAGAUACCCUGGUAGUCC
Molecule: ribosomal RNA, 229 nt
Filed under: uncultured bacterium
Lineage: Bacteria
Description: partial 16S ribosomal RNA
Rfam family: Bacterial small subunit ribosomal RNA
Source: RNAcentral